CAAAUUAAAGCUAAAUAUUAAGUAUUUCAUUUACAUUGAAAAGAAAUUGUUAAAUCAAUUAAUUUGA
Molecule: transfer RNA, 67 nt
Filed under: Prays oleae
Lineage: Eukaryota; Metazoa; Arthropoda; Insecta; Lepidoptera; Praydidae
Description: tRNA-Val
Source: RNAcentral